AGUAGUGGCUUAUGUUUCUCUUCACAAAAUUUAUAAGUUUUCUCAUUGGGAUUAAACAUUUUAAAGGCACUGAACAGCCAGAGCCUCUCUUGAUACUUUACUCAACAACUGGCAGGAUUGGACCUCAUCACCUUUUCCCAUUUGAAGUGAUGGGGAAAGCUCCUGCUGACUUCCAGGACAGGAAAGAAGACCAUUUUUAUCAUCUGCCUAUAAUCUGCUGCACUGCAUUACAUUACCAGCCAUUUUUUUAUUUUCCCACAAGCCAGUUGAAUGAAAAGCAUCUGAAUCACCUACCACUGUGCUUUCGUAUAAACAAGUUCUUGGAUAUUUAUAAUAUUAUCUUGGUCUACCUGAUUCCAGUUUGACUUCAGUACAAGGACAAAUGCUUCAAGGCAGAAGUAACAGGUGAUGUUUUUUUAUCACUUGGAGGCAUUCUGAUGUAUUUACAGGCUAUACCCUAGGCAGGUUAUAUUAAAAUCCCCACAAAGACCUGAUGGAGGAUGACAGUGUCUCUGUCCUCAACAUACAAGAAAAGACUAUUUUUAGGUUGGCAGGAGUUUAGUUAUUUUUAAUCAUAGUUCAAAGCUGAAGGGUGGUGCCUGUUGAUGAUCUUUUCUCUGAGAAGGAAGGUAAUCAUAUUAAUUUCUGUUGCUGGUGCUAGAAGGCUUUACUACUGUUCAGUCUGCUUUGAACUGAAACAUGAACUUGCCAGUUAACAAGUGCAAAAUGUCACGUACCAGCUGCCAUAUCCAGAUAUCUGAAUUCUUUUUACUUUUCUCAGUUGUUCCUGGUCCAUAAACUAUAACCUUAAAAAGCAAACAAACAAAAAAUCAGGCAAGAAAGUAAUUGAUUAAUCCCAGUGACCAAAGUGUGCAUAUUCUUCUUCCUACAGCAUUUUAAACAUUCUAUUUUUACAGAAAAAUAUUCAUAGAAGAUGACGUUACUUUUACAGACAUUAAAAUUCAUGCUACGUUUGGUAUUCUCAUAUUGAUUCCUACUGAUAAAAAGGGAACUGAUCACACCUGCCACUCCUUAUGGUCCCCUGCAUCCUCACUUAUCUAUUCCUUCUGCCUCCUCCCACUCUCUGCUUUGCAUCUACAUCCUUCCUGCUUCUGUUCCUGGAACAGCCACUUCCUCCUCAUGAACUCUGGGCCCUGUCAAGAGCCCGAGGAUGUAGGAAAGAUUCUUCCAUUAAUAUUAAAAAAGAUUCUUCCAUUAACAAUAAAAAUGUUUUUCCAUUAACCUUAAAAAAGCUGAAUACCGGACCUUAUUUUUCUCAUUAU
Molecule: long non-coding RNA, 1283 nt
Organism: Columba livia (rock pigeon)
Lineage: Eukaryota; Metazoa; Chordata; Aves; Columbiformes; Columbidae
Exons: 3
Source: RefSeq, a predicted model, not a curated record